Molecule: long non-coding RNA, 555 nt
Organism: Ctenopharyngodon idella (grass carp)
Lineage: Eukaryota; Metazoa; Chordata; Actinopteri; Cypriniformes; Xenocyprididae
Exons: 2
Source: RefSeq, a predicted model, not a curated record
UAUUGUUUUAAAUGAAUGGUUAAUGUCUUGGUGUACUGAACAGAAGCUGCUCUUUAUAAAUAAUUGGAAUCUUUUCUGGGAGCGACCUAGGCUCUUCCGUGCUGAUGGCCUGCACCCCAGCAAAAUCGGAGCUGAUCUUCUGUCGGAGAACAUCUCCAAGACGCUUCGCACCGUAUGACUAAGAGUACAUCAGUUUCAGUUUGGAUCCAGCCUCUUAAGAAGACCUCAGAUGACUAAAACUUUGGAAGAGACGGCGCCAACUCCUGCGAUGACUUCAGAAGAUGCAACAUCUGGAUCAACACGCACAUUCACAUUCUAUAAAUCCUAAUUAUUGUUAAUAUGUAAUUCAUUUUUCCAGGAGCUCUUUGCUUCUACCUCCAAUUACAUUGCUAACAGUGAUUGUAUGUUAAUCGCCUAAAUUAUUACAUUAUUAGCUAACUGCAGUCUCCAAAUUGUAAUGUUGAUAUGCUUUCUCUGUAAAGCUGCUUUGAAACGAUAUGUAUCGUGAAAAGCGCUAUACAAAUAAAUGUGAAUUGAAUUGAAUUGAAAAUUGAA